ACGGGGGGGGCGAGCGUUGUCCGAAGUUACUGGGCGUAAAGCGCGUGUAGGUGGGUUGUUAAGUCCGCUGUGAAAGCCCGGUGCUCAACGCCGGAGGGUCGGUGGAUACUGGCAGUCUUGAAGUGGCUAGGGGGAAAUGGAAUUACCGGUGUAGCGGUGAAAUGCGUAGAUAUCGGUAGGAACACCAGUGGCGAAGGCGGUUUCCUGGAGCCCACUUGACGCUGAGACGCGAAAGCUGGGGGAGCAAACGGGA
Molecule: ribosomal RNA, 253 nt
Filed under: uncultured prokaryote
Description: partial 16S ribosomal RNA
Rfam family: Bacterial small subunit ribosomal RNA
Source: RNAcentral